RNAcentral lists this ribosomal RNA (436 nucleotides) under uncultured bacterium. RNAcentral describes it as "bacterial SSU rRNA". It matches the Rfam family "Bacterial small subunit ribosomal RNA", at positions 957 to 1393 of the family's 1533-position model. The record is from RNAcentral.
UAACGCGAAGAACCUUACCUGGGCUUGAACGCUUGAUGUUAUUGGGAGAAAUCUCAAGUCCCUUCGGGGCGUUGAGCGAGGUGCUGCAUGGUUGUCGUCAGCUCGUGCCGUGAGGUGUCGGGUUAAGUCCCAUAACGAGCGCAACCCUUAUCAUUAGUUGCCAUCAGGUAAAGCUGGGGACUCUAGUGAAACUGCCUACGCAAGUAGAGAGGAAGGUGGGGAUGACGUCAAAUCAGCACGGCCCUUACGUCCAGGGCUACACACGUGCUACAAUGGCCGGUACAGAGGGCAGCCACCUGGUGACAGGGAGCGAAUCUCGAAAGCCGGUCUCAGUUCGGAUCGAAGUCUGCAACCCGACUUCGUGAAGCUGGAAUCGCUAGUAAUCGCGCAUCAGCCAUGGCGCGGUGAAUACGUUCCCGGGUCUUGUACACACCGA